UUCUGGUUUUGUCUAUCCACCUCUCUUCCUUUCUGAUGGGGCACCAAUUUAUUACCCGGGGUUCAGUUUUAUGGGCAUUGGGCUCGCAUUGAUGAUUGCAUUCAUACAAAGUCUUAUGAUAAGGAUGCUCCUUCAACUUCCAAAUCACAAAAUCAGUACUGCACGUGGCCGAGGCCUAGUUCUCUGAAGCUUAUGAUCUACUCUAAUGUAAAAGGUUGCUUCCAUUAGGAAGAAGAAAAAGUUAAGUAACUACAAAUUAUGCGGUCAUGAGAGUAGUCAGUAUUCGCUGGCAUGAAGGAACUGCUCUGUUUCAGUAACUUUAGUCUUUCUCAGGUUCAUUAUUUGAACUUCAUAUACUAAAUUGCAGCAUAUUAACAUAUUGGUUUUUUGUUUGUGCUAUAGGAUUUGGAACAUUGCAGAGUCUCCUCAAUUAAAGUGAUUAAAAUCAGAAAUUUUUUCAUGGUAAAGAUUCCUAACCGCUAGCUUAUUUGUCUUCACAUAAUAACAUUGCAAGGUUUUCUCACAUUGAGAUCUGGUGUCACUGUCUUUGUUUCAUUUCAUCUCUCAGUUGAAACAAUAAUCUCUCCAACUUUUGCUACUUAUCUCAGUCAACAGUUUUUUUUUUUUUUUUCACAUCAUUAUAUGCUUAAAUUUGUUAGGGACUGAUUUUCUAAUAACUUUUUGUUAGAGCGAUUAUAUCAUUGUACUGUUUUGAUUUAUAGUGAAAAAUCUCUGUCAUACUAUUACCGUGGAUGUAG
Pistacia vera is the source of this 758-nucleotide long non-coding RNA. RefSeq lists it as uncharacterized. The record is from RefSeq and is a predicted model, not a curated record. The transcript has 3 exons. NCBI's taxonomy places the organism in Eukaryota, Viridiplantae, Streptophyta, Magnoliopsida, Sapindales, Anacardiaceae.